UCGCGCCGCGCUGGCGGGGAGGAGACGCGAGGGUCGAUCCCCGGGUGCCCCGACCCCGGCUGGGACUCACGCCCCGCAAGGCGAACGACGCGGGCCUAGCUCCGGGGGGAGGGGGCGGAGGCUGGACGGCCGGCUGCCUGGGGAUUGUAAAGAUCAGCAACAGUCAUAGCCAUCGCUUAUUGAGCUUCUAUUAAGUGCCAAGCAGACUGCCGACAGUAUUAACGCGUUCGUUCAGCGUCUCUAGACCGACCGUGGCCUGGCCAACAGUCCUCAGGUAGUUCCCUAAGAGAAAUGAAGGCACAUGUUCACAUGAAGUCUUACACACGAAUGUACGCAGAAGCUUUAUUUGCAAUAGCCGAGACCUGGAAACAGCCUAAAUGUCCAUCAUUUUGCGAAUGGAUAAGCAGAUUGCGGUUUUUGCAUGCAGUGGGAUUACUACUCAGCAACUAAAUAAACAGAGGAGAGAUGCAUGCAUUGAUGGAUAUGUAAACAUGCCUGGGUGAACAUGAAAAAUAAUUAUCCAGCGAAAGAAGGCACUGAAAGUCCUGGUAAAGUCCUUCCUGAAACAAAGUAAUGCAGAGCACAGAGAGAGCAAGCACGGCACGAAGGUCCCGGCUGUCCCGGCGGAGAGGGCGUACUCACAGCCUGCUUCAAGAGCACAUGUCACAGCUGACCCUCGAACAGCAUGAGCUGGGAUUGUCUGAGGCCGUUUAUGUGGGUUUUCUUCCAAUAAAUAUCAGUUCAUUUCAGUCGCUCAGUCGUGUCCGA
Molecule: long non-coding RNA, 768 nt
Organism: Capra hircus (goat)
Lineage: Eukaryota; Metazoa; Chordata; Mammalia; Artiodactyla; Bovidae
Exons: 3
Source: RefSeq, a predicted model, not a curated record